This 23-nucleotide small nuclear RNA is filed under the name Arabidopsis thaliana (thale cress). Its description in RNAcentral is "snRNA_18991". The record is from RNAcentral. Lineage: Eukaryota; Viridiplantae; Streptophyta; Magnoliopsida; Brassicales; Brassicaceae.
AAAGCUAAAGCUUUACGGAAAAA